RNAcentral lists this small nuclear RNA (19 nucleotides) under Arabidopsis thaliana (thale cress). Its description in RNAcentral is "snRNA_03497". The record is from RNAcentral. Lineage: Eukaryota; Viridiplantae; Streptophyta; Magnoliopsida; Brassicales; Brassicaceae.
UGGUUAGAGGGUAAAUGAG